This 71-nucleotide transfer RNA is filed under the name Marmota monax (woodchuck). Its description in RNAcentral is "tRNA.Val". The record is from RNAcentral. Lineage: Eukaryota; Metazoa; Chordata; Mammalia; Rodentia; Sciuridae.
GAGGCUGUAGCUCAGUGGUAAAUUGCUUUCCUCACAGGAGUGAGGUACUGGGUUCAAUCCUCAGCACCACA